GACAGAGGCCUCAAGCGUUAGGCGGAAUCACUGGGCUUAAAGGGCGCGUAGGCGGGCGGCCGCGUCCGGGGUGAAAUCCCACGGCUCAACCGUGGAACGGCCUCGGAUACGGGCGGCCUGGAGGCGGGUAGGGGCAGGCGGAACUGUGGGUGGAGCGGUGAAAUGCGUUGAGAUCCACAGGAACUCCGGUGGCGAAGGCGGCCUGCUGGACCCGAACUGACGCUGAGGCGCGAAAGCCAGGGGAGCGAACGGG
This 253-nucleotide ribosomal RNA is filed under the name uncultured bacterium. RNAcentral's name for it is "partial 16S ribosomal RNA". It matches the Rfam family "Bacterial small subunit ribosomal RNA", at positions 524 to 776 of the family's 1533-position model. The record is from RNAcentral.